Molecule: ribosomal RNA, 460 nt
Filed under: uncultured bacterium
Lineage: Bacteria
Description: partial 16S ribosomal RNA
Rfam family: Bacterial small subunit ribosomal RNA
Source: RNAcentral
CCUACGGGGGGCAGCAGUGAGGAAUAUUGGUCAAUGGGCGUAAGCCUGAACCAGCCAAGUCGCGUGAGGGAUGAAGGUUCUAUGGAUCGUAAACCUCUUUUAUAAGGGAAUAAAUUGCGGGACGUGUCCCGUUUUGUAUGUACCUUAUGAAUAAUGAUCGGCUAACUCCGUGCCAGCAGCCGCGGUAAUACGGAGGAUCCGAGCGUUAUCCGGAUUUAUUGGGUUUAAAGGGUGCGUAGGCGGCCUUUUAAGUCAGCGGUGAAAGCCUGUGGCUCAACCAUAGAAUUGCCGUUGAUACUGGUAGGCUUGAGUAUGUUUGAGGCAGGCGGAAUGCGUGGUGUAGCGGUGAAAUGCUUAGAUAUCACGCAGAACCCCGAUUGCGAAGGCAGCCUGCCAAGCCAUGACUGACGCUGAUGCACGAAAGCGUGGGGAUCAAACAGGAUUAGAUACCCUAGUAGUC